CUGGGAUCCCACCCCGGGCGCCAGGGAUGGCAGCAGAGCGACCUUUCUCGGCCCUGUGGACAGCCGCUCCUCCUAGACUCCAGCUUUCCCCCACUAACUUUUAUAAGAGAUGAAAAGCUGUUCACACGUUCUCAAGUGUGAAAGAAAAGGAAAUUCUCUUGUGUUAGAAGCCCUGAACCUCAAACUCCGCAAGGAGAACGGUUGACUCAGUCACCCCCCUUCCUCCAGUCCCUCAUUUGUCCUCCGCUUCCUGCGGCUGAACGGUCCUUGAUAAGUGGCCUCCAGAAGAUUCGUCUAUUCCCGCAGCUGGUUAAUGUUCAACCCCCGGGCCUCGAGAGGCAGCUCCAAGGAGGCAGGCAGGCAUGACCCAUUCAAGGUAUAUGGCUGCUCGGGAGUGAAGGCGCGGAGGCCCGAGAAAGGAUAAACAAGACACCGCCUCAUCAGAUAAGAACGUCUCCUUCGAUGUCACGGAUUUCAAGAGGUAGCUGGAGAAACUGACGUCAGGAGUGUCCUGUGAAUGAACAUCGCCCGAGGCCUAGCACCCACAGAAGAAGGGUUCUAUUUUACUCUACUUUGCUUGAUAUUAUUUAUUUUCUAACAAAGUGAUCCGUAGUCUGCAACCUUAGGCUCUGACAGGCAAAGCCCAUUUCUUAGCUCUGGGGAUGGCUUGCAGGGUCUCCACCUCUGUCCACUUUGGUGUCCUCUUUCUCCCUUCGGCUCCCCACCUCCAUCCCCCGAGCCCACACACAGCGGGGUGAAGCUGUCGGGGAGACUCGUGGGCAACCAAAUGCAGGCACCCUCUGAAGAGACGCCGAGAAGGCCCUGCAUUCGAUCCGGGAGGACAUAGAAAGAUGCCAUGAAGUUCUAUUGGGUGCAGCAAGCCGUUCCCCACGCACACUCCCCGUGAUACCUGCCCAGAGAAGCAGAAGCAGUUUCGAGGGCUGUUGACACAGGCAGAGCGGGGAAACGCGCCCAAGAAUUGGGCUGCCACUGAGCGACGAGGAUAAAAGUUCCUGCCCAGGACUGUGUGCGAGGGGGUCCCGCACUGCUGCAAACUCUCAGCGGAGGCAGAGAGGCUUUGCUGUUUCUGGAGAGAGGAAGCAUUGGCAGAGGCAGUCUCCGGGCUGUGAGGAAUCCACCCUCAUGCCUUAGUGUGGGUACGUCAGGUCCCAGCAUCAGCGGGCCAUUUCCUCAGUUGCAUGAAUGGAGGAAAAACCAAACCAAACCAAACCAAACCAAACCAAACCAAACCAAACCAAACCUUGGCUGUGGACAAAGAAAACAGGAGAGGGAGAGGAUGGAGGAGAAAAAGAGCACGAGGGAGGGCAAACACCUUAAACAUUUUUUGCCGUAAGACUAGAAGAACUAGGUCUGGAAAGAUCCAUCAAAGUCCCAGGGUGCAGACACACACCCUGCCCAGGGAGAGCCCAGUGAGUCUGAACUUCUCUUAGUCCUUCUGAAGGAAGGAAAUUUAAAAAGCACCUCUCACUACCACCAAAAAGUAAACACUUUUACCAUGUAGUCAUUACAUGUUUUUGAAUUUUUUUAAUUGUAAGGAAUUUAGAUGGCUCUUAUAGCCAUUCUUCUGCAGAGUAACUUAAGCUUCAAAUAGCUCCUGUUUUCCACAACUACCACUGAACUGUAGAAAUGUAUUGUUACAAAAGGAGUAGAAAUGACUUUUAAAGGUAAUUAAGUAUAAUUAAAUAUAUCUUCAGGGGGUAUUUCAUUUCUUGCAGGAUUCUCUACUCUUCAAAAAAAUCUAAAAUCAACAUUUACAUUUUAAAAAUGCAUAAAAUACUCAGCACAGAAGUGAAUGAAGUUAUGCAUCCCAAACACAGUAAAUUCUGCUUUCUAUCUUUUCAGAUAGACAGUCAACAAUGGGA
Molecule: long non-coding RNA, 1883 nt
Filed under: Homo sapiens (human)
Lineage: Eukaryota; Metazoa; Chordata; Mammalia; Primates; Hominidae
Description: HSALNT0076185
Source: RNAcentral